CCGGAUUGGAGUCUGCAACUCGACUCCAUGAAGUCGGAAUCGCUAGUAAUCGUGGAUCAGAAUGCCACGGUGAAUACGUUCCCGGGCCUUGUACACACCGCCCGUCACACCAUGGGAGUGGGCUGCACCAGAAGUAGAUAGCUUAACCUUUCGGGGAGGGCGUUUACCACGGUGUGGUUCAUGACUGGGGUGAAGUCGUAACAAGGUAGCGCUAGGGGAACCUGGCGCUGGAUCACCUCCUUAUACGA
Molecule: ribosomal RNA, 248 nt
Filed under: Vibrio navarrensis
Lineage: Bacteria; Pseudomonadati; Pseudomonadota; Gammaproteobacteria; Vibrionales; Vibrionaceae
Description: partial 16S ribosomal RNA
Rfam family: Bacterial small subunit ribosomal RNA
Source: RNAcentral